RNAcentral lists this ribosomal RNA (254 nucleotides) under uncultured bacterium. Its description in RNAcentral is "partial 16S ribosomal RNA". It matches the Rfam family "Bacterial small subunit ribosomal RNA", at positions 524 to 777 of the family's 1533-position model. The record is from RNAcentral.
UACGAAGGGGGCGAGCGUUGUUCGGAAUUACUGGGCGUAAAGGGCGCGCAGGCGGCCCUUGAAGUCAGGCGUGAAAGCCCCGGGCUCAACCUGGGAGGUGCGCUUGAUACUCGAGGGCUUGAGUGCGGGAGAGGAGAGUGGAAUUCCCAGUGUAGAGGUGAAAUUCGUAGAUAUUGGGAAGAACACCAAUGGCGAAGGCAGAUCUCUGGGCCGUAACUGACGCUGAGGAGCGAAAGCAUGGGGAGCGAACGAGG